GUAUAUGUUUUAUAGGCACAACAUUCUAUCGACAUACAUUGGGGUAAAUGAAACGACAUAGACCUGAAAAGGUCUACAAAAGGUGCACAGGUGGAGAUAUAAAGACGACAAGUGUGCACAUGCUCUCUAUGAGAGCCAGCAGCAACUCAUCAGGUUUAAUUCAAUAAUGAUCCUUCCGCAGGUUCACCUACGGAAA
This 196-nucleotide unclassified non-coding RNA is filed under the name uncultured fungus. Its description in RNAcentral is "sequence contains ITS1". The record is from RNAcentral. Lineage: Eukaryota; Fungi.